Tachysurus fulvidraco (yellow catfish) is the source of this 1637-nucleotide RNA transcript. It is a transcript of the gene named ubiquitin specific peptidase 46, with no coding region annotated. The transcript is spliced from 10 exons. NCBI's taxonomy places the organism in Eukaryota, Metazoa, Chordata, Actinopteri, Siluriformes, Bagridae. The record is from RefSeq and is a predicted model, not a curated record.
CCUUCCGAAAGCAGAGACGAGAAAGACCAGGCUGAAGAAUAGACACGAGGAAGUAAUGAAUUGUGGGCUAUGCGCAUGCGCACGGUGGCCGAGGCGCCAAUACGGGUAUACAGACGACGGCACCAAUGCCUCUGCUCUGGAGAAAGACAUUGGUCCAGAGCAGUUCCCCAUUAAUGAACACUACUUUGGAUUGGUCAAUUUUGGGAACACGUGCUACUGUAACUCGGUGCUGCAGGCGCUGUAUUUCUGCAGGCCGUUCAGGGAGAGUGUGCUGGCCUACAAGACACAACAGAAGAAGAAGGAGAACCUGCUGACCUGCCUGGCUGACCUCUUCCACAGCAUCGCUACCCAGAAGAAGAAGGUUGGAGUCAUCCCUCCUAAGAAGUUCAUCUCUCGCCUGAGAAAAGAAAAUGACCUGUUUGAUAACUACAUGCAGCAGGACGCUCAUGAGUUCCUCAACUACCUGCUGAACACGGUGGCAGACAUCCUGCAGGAGGAGAAGAAACAGGAGAAACAGAACGGUCGGCUGAAGAACAACGGAGGUGCCGUCACUGCAGAAACGGAGACGGAAAUCAAGACCGAGUCCACGUGGGUGCACGACAUCUUCCAGGGAACGCUGACCAACGAGACGCGCUGCCUGAACUGCGAGACGGUAAGCAGUAAAGAUGAGGACUUCCUGGAUUUGUCUGUGGAUGUUGAACAAAACACUUCAAUAACACACUGUCUCAGGGACUUCAGUAACACGGAGACGCUGUGCAGUGAGUAUAAAUACUACUGUGAAAUCUGCUGCAGCAAGCAAGAGGCCCAGAAACGCAUGCGAGUGAAGAAGUUACCCAUGAUCUUAGCCCUGCACCUGAAACGGUUUAAGUACAUGGAGCAGCUGCAGCGCUACACAAAGCUGAGCUACCGCGUGGUCUUUCCGCUCGAGCUGCGUCUCUUCAACACGUCCGCCGACGCCGUCAACCUUGACCGCAUGUACGACCUCGUGGCUGUUGUGGUGCACUGUGGCAGUGGGCCAAAUAGAGGACACUACAUCACAAUCGUGAAGAGUCACGGCUUCUGGCUGCUGUUUGACGAUGACAUCGUGGAGAAAAUCGAUGCACAGGCAAUAGAGGAGUUCUACGGUUUGACUUCUGACAUCUCUAAGAACUCGGAGUCAGGAUACAUCCUUUUUUAUCAGUCCAGAGAGUGACAGGAUGAAAGGAUGAACACCGAGCGGGAGAAAAAGAGAAAAAAAAAGAUCAAAGGAAAACAAAGACAGAAAAUCCGUUUCUCCGCGACGAUUAACAGGAAAGGAACCGUUUCCGAGGCUGAUCGCGGUUCAGCGCGUACAAACCGCGUCGAGAUCUUGUAGCUGUUUCAAUUCAACCUGCUCAAGAUGGCUGCUACAGUAUGGAUCGUCAAGUAGAAAGGACAAUAGAAGUCCUAGUUGACUGAGAGAAAUAUUUAGCAUGACAGGUUUUUCUCUGACUGAACUCGACUGUGUGUGAUGUAUAAUGGUCUGAGCUCAGCGAGGUAAGACUCUGGGGGGAAAAAGACUAACAUUCUUUCCCAUGCUCGAGUGCUUUUGGUUAAACCAAGGACAUUUAUAUCAGACCUGUGGUAUAAUAUUAUAUAAUUCCUUAUUUGCACCUUGA